AUUGAACGCUGGCGGCAGGCCUAACACAUGCAAGUCGAGCGAGCGGCGGACGGGUGAGUAAUGUAUGGGGACUGCCCGAUAGAGGGGGAUAACUAAUGGAAACGGUGGCCAAUACCGCCUAUUGUCGGAUAACCCAUAUGGGAUUAGCUAGUAGGUAAGGUAAUGGCUUACCUAGGCGACGAUCCCUAGCUGGUAUGAGAGGAUGAUCAGCCACCCUGGGACUGUGACACGGCCCAGACUCGUCCGGGGGCAGCGGAGGGGAAUAUUGCACAAUGGGGGCAGGCCUGAUGCAGCCAGGCCGGGUGGAGGAAGAGGUCCCUAGGGUGGUAAAGUAUUUUCAGUCAGAAGGCGUUAACGACAGAAGAAGCACCGGCUAACUCCGUGCCAGCAGCCGCGGUAAUAC
Molecule: ribosomal RNA, 403 nt
Filed under: uncultured bacterium
Lineage: Bacteria
Description: partial 16S ribosomal RNA
Rfam family: Bacterial small subunit ribosomal RNA
Source: RNAcentral